UGGGGAAUAUUGCACAAUGGGGGAAACCCUGAUGCAGCGACGCCGCGUGAGUGAGGAAGUAUUUCGGUAUGUAAAGCUCUAUCAGCAGGGAAGAAAAUGACGGUACCUGACUAAGAAGCCCCGGCUAACUACGUGCCAGCAGCCGCGGUAAUACGUAGGGGGCAAGCGUUAUCCGGAUUUACUGGGUGUAAAGGGAGCGUAGACGGUUAAUCAAGUCAGAAGUGAAAACCCAGGGCUCAACCUUGGGACUGCUUUUGAAACUGAGUAGCUAGAGUGCAGGAGAGGUAAGCGGAAUUCCUAGUGUAGCGGUGAAAUGCGUAGAUAUUAGGAGGAACACCAGUGGCGAAGGCGGCUUACUGGACUGUAACUGACGUUGAGGCUCGAAAGCGUGGGGAGCAAA
This 400-nucleotide ribosomal RNA is filed under the name uncultured bacterium. RNAcentral's name for it is "bacterial SSU rRNA". It matches the Rfam family "Bacterial small subunit ribosomal RNA", at positions 355 to 772 of the family's 1533-position model. The record is from RNAcentral.